AUACGUAGGGGGCGAGCGUUGUCCGGAUUUACUGGGUGUAAAGGGAGCGCAGGCGGGCGUGCAAGUCAGCUGUGAAAUCCAUGGGCUUAACCCGUGGGCUGCAGUUGAAACUGUAUGUCUUGAGUGAAGUAGAGGUAGGCGGAAUUCCGAGGGUAGCGGUAAAAUGCGUAGAUAUUCGGAGGAACACCGGUGGCGAAGGCGGCCUACUGGGCUUUAACUGACGCUGAGGCUCGAAAGUGUGGGGAGCAAACAGGAUUAGAUACCCUGGUAGUCCACACUGUAAACGAUGAUUGCUAGGUGUGGGGGGUCUGACCCCUUCCGUGCCGCAGUUAACGCAUUAAGCAAUCCACCUGGGGAGUACGGCCGCAAGGCUAAAACUCAAAGGAAUUGACGGGG
Molecule: ribosomal RNA, 396 nt
Filed under: uncultured bacterium
Lineage: Bacteria
Description: partial 16S ribosomal RNA
Rfam family: Bacterial small subunit ribosomal RNA
Source: RNAcentral